AAUAUUGGGCAAUGGACGCAAGUCUGACCCAGCCAUGCCGCGUGAAGGAUGAAGGCGUUCUGCGUUGUAAACUUCUUUUACUAGUGAAGAAAGUGCGUCUUUUUAGAUGUUUUGACGGUAACUAGUGAAUAAGCCCCGGCUAACUACGUGCCAGCAGCCGCGGUAAUACGUAGGGGGCAAGCGUUGUCCGGAAUUAUUGGGCGUAAAGGGUGCGUAGGCGGCCUUUUAAGUCAGAUGUGAAAGCCCACGGCUUAACCGUGGGACUGCAUUUGAAACUGGAGGGCUUGAGUAUCGGAGAGGGUAGUGGAAUUCCCAGUGCAGCGGUGGAAUGCGUAGAUAUUGGGAGGAACACCAGUGGCGAAGGCGACUACCUGGACGAAAACUGACGCUGAGGCACGAAAGCUAGGGGAGCAAAC
RNAcentral lists this ribosomal RNA (416 nucleotides) under uncultured bacterium. RNAcentral's name for it is "partial 16S ribosomal RNA". It matches the Rfam family "Bacterial small subunit ribosomal RNA", at positions 360 to 773 of the family's 1533-position model. The record is from RNAcentral.